This 227-nucleotide ribosomal RNA is filed under the name uncultured bacterium. RNAcentral's name for it is "partial 16S ribosomal RNA". It matches the Rfam family "Bacterial small subunit ribosomal RNA", at positions 1265 to 1500 of the family's 1533-position model. The record is from RNAcentral.
AUGCGGAUCUCGAAAGCCUGUCCCAGUUCGGACUGGAGUCUGCAACCCGACUCCACGAAGUUGGAUUCGCUAGUAAUCGCGCAUCAGCCAUGGCGCGGUGAAUACGUUCCCGGGCCUUGUACACACCGCCCGUCAAGCCAUGGGAGCCGGGGGCGCCUGAAGUCCGGGACCGCGAGGACCGGCCUAGGGCGAAACUGGUAACUGGGGCUAAGUCGUAACAAGGUAAC